GACGAACGCUGGCGGCGUGCUUAACACAUGCAAGUCGAACGGCAAGGCCCUGCUUUUGUGGGGUGCUCGAGUGGCGAACGGGUGCGUAACACGUGUGUAACCUGCUCUUGACUUUGGGGUAACUUCAGGAAACUGGGGCUAAUAUCGGAUAGGAGAUCAUGCUGGGUGGUGGGGGUUGGAACGUUUCGGCGGUUGGGGAUGGACUCGCGGCUUUUCAGCUUGUUGGUGGGGUAGUGGCUGACCCAGGCUUUGACGGGUAGCCGGCCUGUGAGGGUGACCGGCGACAUUGGUACUGAGAGACGGACCAGACUCCUACGGGAGGCAGCAGGGGGGAACAUGACACAAUGGGCGGAAGCCUGAUGCAGCGACGCCGCGGGCGGGAUGACGGCCUGCGGGGUGUAAACCGCAUUCGCCUGUGACGAAGCGGUAGUGACGGUAAUGAGUAAAUAAGCACCGGCUAACUUCGUG
Molecule: ribosomal RNA, 468 nt
Filed under: uncultured bacterium
Lineage: Bacteria
Description: partial 16S ribosomal RNA
Rfam family: Bacterial small subunit ribosomal RNA
Source: RNAcentral